RNAcentral lists this non-coding RNA (31 nucleotides) under Homo sapiens (human). The record is from RNAcentral. Lineage: Eukaryota; Metazoa; Chordata; Mammalia; Primates; Hominidae.
UGAAGGCUGCACAUUUGGAAGGAAUCCGCUC